CAGCAGCCGCGGUAAAACGGAGGGUGCAAGCGUUAAUCGGAAUUACUGGGCGUAAAGCGCACGCAGGCGGUUUGUUAAGUCAGAUGUGAAAUCCCCGAGCUUAACUUGGGAACUGCAUUUGAAACUGGCAAGCUAGAGUCUUGUAGAGGGGGGUAGAAUUCCUGGUGUAGCGGUGAAAUGCGUAGAGAUCUGGAGGAAUACCGGUGGCGAAGGCGGCCCCCUGGACGAAGACUGACGCUCAGGUACGAAAGCGUGGGGAGCAAACAGGAUUAGAUACCCCUGUAGUCCCUGUCUCUUAUAC
RNAcentral lists this ribosomal RNA (301 nucleotides) under uncultured bacterium. RNAcentral's name for it is "partial 16S ribosomal RNA". It matches the Rfam family "Bacterial small subunit ribosomal RNA", at positions 509 to 807 of the family's 1533-position model. The record is from RNAcentral.